Molecule: ribosomal RNA, 468 nt
Filed under: uncultured bacterium
Lineage: Bacteria
Description: partial 16S ribosomal RNA
Rfam family: Bacterial small subunit ribosomal RNA
Source: RNAcentral
GACGAACGCUGGCGGCGUGCUUAACACAUGCCAGUCGAACGGAAAGGCCCUGCUUUUGUGGGGUGAUCGAGUGGCGAACGGGUGAGUAACACGUGAGUAACCUGCCCUUGACUUUGGGAUAACUUCAGGAAACUGGGGCUAAUACCGGAUAGGAGCUCCUGCUGCAUGGUGGGGGUUGGAAAGUUUCGGCGGUUGGGGAUGGACUCGCGGCUUAUCAGCUUGUUGGUGGGGUAGUGGCUUACCAAGGCUUUGACGGGUAGCCGGCCUGAGAGGGUGACCGGCCACAUUGGGACUGAGAUACGGCCCAGACUCCUACGGGAGGCAGCAGUGGGGAAUAUUGCACAAUGGGCGGAAGCCUGAUGCAGCAACGCCGCGUGCGGGAUGACGGCCUUCGGGUUGUAAACCGCUUUCGCCUGUGACGAAGCGUGAGUGACGGUAAUGGGUAAAGAAGCACCGGCUAACUACGUG